Molecule: ribosomal RNA, 618 nt
Filed under: Cynoscion nothus (silver seatrout)
Lineage: Eukaryota; Metazoa; Chordata; Actinopteri; Sciaenidae
Description: partial 16S ribosomal RNA
Rfam family: Bacterial large subunit ribosomal RNA
Source: RNAcentral
CGCCUGUUUAUCAAAAACAUCGCCUCUUGCAAAACUAAUGAAUAAGAGGUCCUGCCUGCCCUGUGACCAUGAGUUCAACGGCCGCGGUAUUUUGACCGUGCAAAGGUAGCGCAAUCACUUGUCUUUUAAAUGGAGACCCGUAUGAAUGGCAAGACGAGGGCUUAGCUGUCUCCUUUUUCAAGUCAAUGAAAUUGAUCUUCCCGUGCAGAAGCGGGAAUUCCAACAUAAGACGAGAAGACCCUAUGGAGCUUCAGACACCAAGAUAGACCACGUCAAAGCCUCCUAAUUAAAGGACUGAACUAAGUGGACCCUGUCCUAAUGUCUUUGGUUGGGGCGACCACGGGGAAACACAAAACCCCCGCGUGGAAUGGGAGCACCUUACUCCUACAACUGAGAGCUUCCGCUCUAAUAAACAGAAUUUCUGACCAACAAGAUCCGGCAAUGCCGAUCAACGAACCGAGUUACCCUAGGGAUAACAGCGCAAUCCUCUUUUAGAGCCCAUAUCGACAAGAGGGUUUACGACCUCGAUGUUGGAUCAGGACAUCCUAAUGGUGCAGCCGCUAUUAAGGGUUCGUUUGUUCAACGAUUAAAGUCCUACGUGAUCUGAGUUCAGACCGG